RNAcentral lists this ribosomal RNA (232 nucleotides) under uncultured bacterium. RNAcentral's name for it is "partial 16S ribosomal RNA". It matches the Rfam family "Bacterial small subunit ribosomal RNA", at positions 15 to 236 of the family's 1533-position model. The record is from RNAcentral.
GAUCAUGGCUCAGGAUGAACGCUAGCUACAGGCUUAACACAUACAAGUCGAGGGGAAACGGACAUCGAAAGCUUGCUUUUGAUGGGCGUCGACCGGCGCACGGGUGAGUAACGCGUAUCCAACCUGCCCAUCACUUGGGAAUAACCUUGCGAAAGUAAGACUAAUGCCCAAUGAUGUCCCACGAAGGCAUCCGAAUGGGAUUAAAGAUUUAUCGUGAUGGAUGGGGAUGCGU